Molecule: transfer RNA, 72 nt
Organism: Toxocara canis (dog roundworm)
Lineage: Eukaryota; Metazoa; Nematoda; Chromadorea; Rhabditida; Toxocaridae
Rfam family: tRNA
About the family: Transfer RNA (tRNA) molecules are approximately 80 nucleotides in length. Their secondary structure includes four short double-helical elements and three loops (D, anti-codon, and T loops).
Source: Rfam
AGACCAGUAGCUCAGUGGUAGAGCCCCUGCUUCGCAUGCGGGGAGACCUGGGCUCGAUUCUCGGCUGCUUUC